Molecule: long non-coding RNA, 1789 nt
Filed under: Pan troglodytes (chimpanzee)
Lineage: Eukaryota; Metazoa; Chordata; Mammalia; Primates; Hominidae
Description: lincRNA
Source: RNAcentral
AACCCUUGAGCAAUGACAAGUACCUGCCAAACACUGUUGUGAAAACCUCUCUCCUGGGAAAACAAAAGUCAUGACAUUUUGAGCACAAUUGUGUGUGGGAUGCAUUCAUCAAUAGAGCUGGAAGCACCAACCACCAUAGGAGAGGAAACUUUUAGUUACAAGCACAUGAAUAAAUAAAUCAAACUCAACUGGAAUGACGUUCCUGAGGAUGGAGAUACAUUUUUUUGUUGACCCAUCUAAACUUGAACAGCAAGUGAUAAUUAGUCUCCAAUCAGAAAGUCCCAGGACUUAUAGGAGCAGAAAUCAGAAGACUUUACUCCACAAACUUCAGGUGGACAUGUGGACAAAGCCAUCUGAGAACGUGACAAAAAUACAGCAAGAGCAGAGACAAGAUCAGAUCAUCCUGGGGGCAGAUGCUGGGCUCUGACCAAUUUGAGAGAGAAAAGGAAAAAGAACCCAGCUACAAGAUGCACAAGUAGCAGGCCACAGCCACCAACAUCAGCAGAGCAAUUGGAGGCCAGGAAGACAAGGACACUUCUGAAGAGACUGAAAAAAGCAGAAGACAGUCCAAGUCACUGCAAGGUUCCAAGGUCUCUUUUUUCAUUACUGUACCAAGUAAGCCAAAAUCCACCCUACUCUUCAAAACCAUCUUGAAGAGUUGCAGGUCAGGGUUGCUGCAUCUGAGCAUGUUUACUCACAAAAGGUGACAGAUGCUCCUCAACUUACAAUGAGAUUACAUCCUGAUAAAUGUGUCAUAAGUUGAAAAUAUGUUACAAGUCGAAAAUGCAUUUACUACAGCCUAACCCACUGAACAUUGUAACUUAGGCUAGCCUACCUUAAAACGUGAUCAGGACACUUCCCUCAGCCUACAUUUGGGCAAAAUCACCUAACACGAAGCCUAUUUUAUAAUAGAGCAUUGAAUAGCUCAAAUAAUUUAUUCAAUACUGUACAUUACAUAGAAUUUGUGACAGUUUUACACCAUCAUUAUGUCAAAAAAUCAUUAAGUUGAGCCACCGUAACUCAGGGACUGUCUGUAUUUAUAUUUUUACUUCACACUAAGCUUUGAAACUGAAAUUUUUGCUCCUCAGCAGAUGGGGUUUCUGAGAAAGACCAAAUUAGUUAUAGAGCACUAGCUCCCAAAAAAAAAAAAAAAAACAGAAGAAGUCAGAGGAGGAGGGCUACAUGGAGCAGAGGAAGAAGGAGAGAAAAAGCAAGAAACCAUUAUCGCUCCCUCAUCUGAACUGCACUGCGAGUAAGCUGGGGCUUCCACCACAGUGUCCUGGAAGCCAUGUUUGCUGCCCAUUUCUGGACUCUCCAGCCACACUGGCCUCCUUUCCCUUUCUCAAACCUGCUGUGGUUCCUGCCACUUCAAGAUAAUCUCUUAACAAUCUAUUCCUUCUGCCUGAAAUGCUCUUCCUCCCACCCAACCCCGCCCUGCCCAGCUAACUCCAUUCUUUGGCCCCUGCAUCGCUUUCCCAAGGAAGCCAUUUCUGGACUUCCCUCACCCCUGCCUUCCAUCUUCACUGGCCCAGAGUUCCCUACCCUAUGGUCUCAUUGCUCCCUCCCAGGCACUGCUGCCUCCCAGGACUCUUCCCCGUCGGUAAUAUAGUUCUGCUUGAUUGUUCAGUUAAUUUUGCCUCCCCUGAAGACCAUAAGCCAUGUUGGCAAUGAUGGUUUUGCUCACCAUUGCACCUCCAGUGUCUAAAAACCAUGGGCAGGUCAAUUCAUUUUUGUUGAGUAAAGGAAUUGUUCAAUAAGUGCACAAAUAAAUUCACAUUAAAACUUGUCC